AUGCCCAUCGCAGGUAGGUGCGUGCUGGUUCAAUGUGUGCUCGCGGCCAUGCCCACUUUUGCCAUCCCCGUGCUGCGGCCAUCAAAGAAGGUUUUCAAAUAAGUUGACAAGGCCAGAAGGCGGUUUCUUUGGGCGCAAGACGAGGAGGCCACCGGCGAAAAGUGCAAGGUCGGUUUGCAGGCGGUGACCGCGCCGGAGCGCGCCGGGGGACUGGGCAUUCACGACCUGGCAAAGUUUUCUCGUGCCCUUCGCCUCCGCUGGCUUUGGCUCACAUGGACGCAGCAAACAUGUUCUUGGGUCGGCACAGCCACCCCGUGCGACGACAAUGAUUGUGCUCUGUUCGCUGCUUGCGCGGUGGUCACCAUCGGCAAUGGCGCGAUGGCUUCCUUAUGGUUCUCCUCAUGGCUCAAUGGCAGACAGCUAUGCCUGGCAUACCCAACAGUGUUCGCUCAAUCAAUCCAAAAAAAUAGAUCAGUCCAGGAAGCCCUACACCAAGACAGAUGGAUCCUCGACCUCCGUCAUGGUGGUGACCAUGGUUUUGGGUACCGCCCGAGAAAAACGGUUACCGCGCGGUUACCGAGAUUCUCGCCGGCCCACGAGAAAGUCAUAUCCCGAGCAAAAAAUCCCGGAAUUUUUGAAUUUUUACCUUUCAAUCUGUAG
This 660-nucleotide ribosomal RNA is filed under the name Triticum aestivum (bread wheat). RNAcentral's name for it is "partial small subunit ribosomal RNA". Lineage: Eukaryota; Viridiplantae; Streptophyta; Magnoliopsida; Poales; Poaceae. The record is from RNAcentral.